AACGAACGCUGGCGGCAGGCCUAACACAUGCAAGUCGAGCGAGGACUUCGGUCCUAGCGGCGGACGGGUGAGUAACGCGUGGGAACGUGCCCCUUGGUACGGAAUAGCCCCGGGAAACUGGGAGUAAUACCGUAUGAGCUCUACGGAGGAAAGAUUUAUCGCCAAGGGAUCGGCCCGCGUUGGAUUAGGUAGUUGGUGGGGUAAUGGCCUACCAAGCCGACGAUCCAUAGCUGGUUUGAGAGGAUGAUCA
Molecule: ribosomal RNA, 250 nt
Filed under: uncultured bacterium
Lineage: Bacteria
Description: partial 16S ribosomal RNA
Rfam family: Bacterial small subunit ribosomal RNA
Source: RNAcentral